GACGAACGCUGGCGGCGUGCUUAACACAUGCAAGUCGAACGGAAAGGCCCUGCUUUUGUGGGGUGCUCGAGUGGCGAACGGGUGAGUAACACGUGAGUAACCUGCCCUUGACUUUGGGAUAACUUCAGGAAACUGGGGCUACUACCGGAUAGGAGAUCCUGCUGCAUGGUGGGGGUUGGAAAUUUUCGGCGGUUGGGGAUGGACUCGCGGCUUAUCAGCUUGUUGGUGGGGUAGUGGCUUACCCAGGCUUUGACGGGUAGCCGGCCUGAGAGGGUGACCGGCCACAUUGGGACUGAGAGACGGCCCAGACUGCUACGGGAGGCAGCAGUGGGGAAUAUUGCACAAUGGGCGGAAGCCUGAUGCAGCAACGCCGCGUGCGGGAUGACGGCCUUCGGGUUGUAAACCGCUUUCGCCUGUGACGAAGCGUGAGUGACGGUAAUGGGUAAAGAAGCACCGGCUAACUACGUG
This 468-nucleotide ribosomal RNA is filed under the name uncultured bacterium. Its description in RNAcentral is "partial 16S ribosomal RNA". It matches the Rfam family "Bacterial small subunit ribosomal RNA", at positions 28 to 507 of the family's 1533-position model. The record is from RNAcentral.